ACUCCUGCUGGUGUUCAGUCAGUAGGGCAUGAGACUCUUAAUCUCAGGGUCAUGGGCUACGAGUCCCAUGUUGGGCA
Podarcis lilfordi (Lilford's wall lizard) is the source of this 77-nucleotide non-coding RNA. Lineage: Eukaryota; Metazoa; Chordata; Lepidosauria; Squamata; Lacertidae. The record is from the annotation of a GenBank genome assembly.